UACGGGGGGGGCAAACGUUGUUCGGAAUUACUGGGCGUAAAGGGCUCGUAGGCGGCCAACUAAGUCAGACGUGAAAUCCCUCGGCUUAACCGGGGAACUGCAUCUGAUACUGGAUGGCUUGAGUUCGGGAGAGGGAUGUGGAAUUCCAGGUGUAGCGGUGAAAUGCGUAGAUAUCGGGAGGAACACCAGUGGCGAAGGCGGCGACCUGGACGGACAUUGACGCUGAGACGCGAAAGCGUGGGGAGCAAACAGG
RNAcentral lists this ribosomal RNA (253 nucleotides) under uncultured bacterium. RNAcentral's name for it is "partial 16S ribosomal RNA". It matches the Rfam family "Bacterial small subunit ribosomal RNA", at positions 524 to 776 of the family's 1533-position model. The record is from RNAcentral.